This 139-nucleotide ribosomal RNA is filed under the name uncultured eukaryote. RNAcentral's name for it is "partial 18S ribosomal RNA". It matches the Rfam family "Eukaryotic small subunit ribosomal RNA", at positions 1299 to 1458 of the family's 1831-position model. The record is from RNAcentral.
UGGUGGAGUGAUUUGUCUGGUUAAUUCCGUUAACGAACGAGACCUCGACCUGCUAAAUAGUUCUUGCCAUCUUACGAUGGCUGGAUACUUCUUAGAGGGACUAUCGGUGGUUAGCCGAUGGAAGUUCGAGGCAAUAACA